This 1078-nucleotide long non-coding RNA is filed under the name Apteryx haastii (Great spotted kiwi). RNAcentral describes it as "lncRNA (ENSAHAG00000002410.1)". Lineage: Eukaryota; Metazoa; Chordata; Aves; Apterygiformes; Apterygidae. The record is from RNAcentral.
AGGGCCAGUCUCUUCUCAGUGGUAUCCAGUGACAGGACAAGAGGCAAUGGGCAUAAACUGAAACACAGGAAAUUCCACUUGAACAAAAGAAAACACUUCUUUACUGUGAGGGUGGUUGAACACUGGAACAGAUUGUCCAGAGAAGUUGUGGAGUCUCUAUCCUUGGAGAUAUUCAAAACCUGACUGGACAUGGUCCUGAGUACCCUGCUCUAGUUGACAUUGCCUUAAGUAGGGAUACUGGACCAGAUGAUCUCCAGACAUCCCUUCCAACCACAGCUAUUCUGUGGUUCUGUGAUACUACGACCUUGUGUCCACAGUUUUUGAGACCCAAAAAGAAAAGUAGGUCUAGCAGGUUUACUUCAUCUUCCAUUUUGAAGCUGAGCUGGGUCUGCUGUGAGAGCGACACCCCACAACCUGUGUACUUUGACUCCUUCACCCACCCAAGUCUUAACCAGGAAAUCUCUUCAUGAUGGCUUGAGAGCAUGUCAUUUUCUGUGUUUUCUGUGAAGAAUCGCAAUAACACCAGUGAGUACAACAGGACAUUUUGUUACCCUGUUUCUGCAUGUAGUUUUCCUAAUAAGGUCCUAAUAAAAGAUUACUUUGAAACUAGUCUUGCUAGUUUUUAGUGGUGCCAGAAGUACAAGAUGAGUGCCAGAAGGCCCCGUGAAAAAUUAAAAUGGCAACUAUAAAGCUUGUAUAACUCCAUAUUAUAUUAAUAUUAUAUUAAUAACCUCACCAACCCUGAGAAUCCAGGGAAACACUGUACAUGCCUGGAAAGGAUUCAAACAGCAACUUGAAUAUUAUAUGAAAGCCAGAGAGGCAAAUAAACCACAGAUUCAAGUAGUUCUUGCACUCAUACUCUGCAGCAGCAGGCAGAGACCUCAGAAUGUGCUCAGUGCACUCCAGGAGGAUAGAAAUGUGGAAAUAUGGAGAAGCACUGCUGAACAAUGGCAAACUUGGAAGUUCUUCAUUUGUAGACAAAUUAUCCUCCUAAAAAAAAAAAAAAAAGAGAGAUGCUCCAGUCCCCUAAUCAUCUUUGUAGCCCUUUGCUGGACUUGCUCCAGUAGUGCCACAUCCC